GACGAACGCUGGCGGCGUGCCUAAUACAUGCAAGUCGAGCGAAGUUUUUCUGGUGCUUGCCCUAGAAACACUUAGCGGCGAACGGGUGAGUAACACGUAAAGAACCUGCCUCAUAGACUGGGACAACUAUUGGAAACGAUAGCUAAUACCGGAUAACAGCAUUAACUGCAUGGUUGAUGUUUAAAAGUUGGUUUUGCUAACACUAUGAGAUGGCUUUGCGGUGCAUUAGCUAGUUGGUGGGGUAAAGGCCUACCAAGGCGACGAUGCAUAGCCGACCUGAGAGGGUGAUCGGCCACACUGGGACUGAGACACGGCCCAGACUCCUACGGGAGGCAGCAGUAGGGAAUCUUCCGCAAUGGGCGAAAGCCUGACGGAGCAACGCCGCGUGAGUGAAGAAGGAUUUCGGUUCGUAAAGCUCUGUUGUUAGGGAAGAAUGAUUGUGUAGUAACUAUACACAGUAGAGACGGUACCUAACCAGAAAGCCACGGCUAACUACGUG
This 499-nucleotide ribosomal RNA is filed under the name uncultured bacterium. RNAcentral describes it as "partial 16S ribosomal RNA". It matches the Rfam family "Bacterial small subunit ribosomal RNA", at positions 28 to 507 of the family's 1533-position model. The record is from RNAcentral.